RNAcentral lists this ribosomal RNA (417 nucleotides) under uncultured bacterium. RNAcentral describes it as "bacterial SSU rRNA". It matches the Rfam family "Bacterial small subunit ribosomal RNA", at positions 355 to 786 of the family's 1533-position model. The record is from RNAcentral.
UGGGGAAUAUUGGGCAAUGGGCGCAAGCCUGACCCAGCAACGCCGCGUGAAGGAAGAAGGCCCUCGGGUUGUAAACUUCUUUUGUCAGGGACGAAGCAAGUGACGGUACCUGACGAAUAAGCCACGGCUAACUACGUGCCAGCAGCCGCGGUAAUACGUAGGUGGCAAGCGUUAUCCGGAUUUACUGGGUGUAAAGGGCGUGUAGGCGGGAGAGCAAGUCAGAUGUGAAAUUCCAGGGCUCAACCCUGGAACUGCAUUUGAAACUGUUUUUCUUGAGUGAUGGAGAGGCAGGCGGAAUUCCGUGUGUAGCGGUGAAAUGCGUAGAUAUACGGAGGAACACCAGUGGCGAAGGCGGCCUGCUGUACAUUAACUGACGCUGAGGCGCGAAAGCGUGGGGAGCAAACAGGAUUAGAUACC